UCAGCCUCAUCCCACCAGAAGAACGGUGGGCCUGGCCUGAGGUGGAGCAGCCAGAACUUCCUGCAUUGCCCGUGGUGCCUGAACUCCCUGAGGUGCCCAUGGAGAUGCCUUUGGUGCUGCCCCCGGAGCUCGAGCUGCUCUCACUGGAAGCAGUGCACAGGUACCAGGGAGGUGGCAGCUUGAUGGGGUGGACCCGGGCUGAAGCCUCUGCUAAUGAUUCUUGAUCUCUAUAGGGCAGUGGCACUGGAGCUGCAGGCUAACAGGGAGCCAGACUUCAGCAGCCUGGUGUCACCUCUCAGCCCCCGCAGGAUGGCUGCCCGGGUCUUCUACCUGCUGCUGGAUUCUUCGCGUGGAACAAGAAAAGCCAUAUGGUCGCCUCCUGAUCCAGCCAGGGCCCAAAUUCCACUGAGGUUAGAGUCCAUUUACAAAGCUGCCAGGAAACCGGCCACUUCUAGUAAACCACGUCGUGCCUCACUGGGUCCUGCUUACCUCAUUUCUGAAUGUGCAUUUCUAGCCUUCUUGCUCUCAGAGCUAUUGUUCAAGCAGAAAACAAGCUGCUUUUAUUAC
Molecule: small RNA, 567 nt
Filed under: Pongo abelii (Sumatran orangutan)
Lineage: Eukaryota; Metazoa; Chordata; Mammalia; Primates; Hominidae
Description: processed transcript
Source: RNAcentral